This 156-nucleotide ribosomal RNA is filed under the name Hydnum rufescens. RNAcentral describes it as "5.8S ribosomal RNA". It matches the Rfam family "5.8S ribosomal RNA". Rfam says of the family: 5.8S ribosomal RNA (5.8S rRNA) is a component of the large subunit of the eukaryotic ribosome. Lineage: Eukaryota; Fungi; Basidiomycota; Agaricomycetes; Cantharellales; Hydnaceae. The record is from RNAcentral.
UACAACUUUUAACAACGGAUCUCUUGGCUCUCGCAUCGAUGAAGAACGCAGCGAAAUGCGAUAAGUAAUGUGAAUUGCAGAAUUCAGUGAAUCAUCGAAUCUUUGAACGCACCUUGCGCUCUCUGGUAUUCCGGAGAGUACGCCUGUUCGAGUGUC